RNAcentral lists this transfer RNA (65 nucleotides) under Meriones tamariscinus (Tamarisk jird). RNAcentral describes it as "tRNA-Trp". Lineage: Eukaryota; Metazoa; Chordata; Mammalia; Rodentia; Muridae. The record is from RNAcentral.
AGAAGUUUAGGAUAUACAGUCCCAGAGCCUUCAAAGCUCUAAGAAGACAUAAAGUCUAACUUCUG